This 250-nucleotide long non-coding RNA is filed under the name Bos taurus (domestic cattle). Its description in RNAcentral is "long non-coding RNA NONBTAT016507". Lineage: Eukaryota; Metazoa; Chordata; Mammalia; Artiodactyla; Bovidae. The record is from RNAcentral.
UUUUGGAUGCAAACUGUAUUCUGAUCAUUGGCUUAGAAUUAGAGAAAUAAAAAUUUGAUAUUUACUAGUGUAAGUUAAUAAAAUACUGAAUAUAGUAAAUAAUUUAGUGUCCUGGAGCAAGUCCAAAAAUUUAGCUAUUGCUUCAAAACUCCUUUAACAUAAUAAUAAAAUGUUGGCAGUAUUUGCUGUGCUAAACUGCAAGUUCCUUAAAAGCAGAAGCUUCUUAUCUACUCUGCUUUUGACAUAAUGU